RNAcentral lists this ribosomal RNA (468 nucleotides) under uncultured bacterium. Its description in RNAcentral is "partial 16S ribosomal RNA". It matches the Rfam family "Bacterial small subunit ribosomal RNA", at positions 28 to 507 of the family's 1533-position model. The record is from RNAcentral.
GACGAACGCUGGCGGCGUGCUUAACACAUGCAAGUCGAACGGAAAGGCCCUGCUUUUGUGGGGUGCUCGAGAGGCGAACGGGUGAGUAACACGUGAGUAACCUGCCCUUGACUUUGUGAUAACUUCAGGAAAAUGGGGCUAAUACCGGAUAUGAGCUCCUGCUGCAUGGGGGGGGUUGGAAAGUUUCGGCGGUUGGGGCUGGUUUCGCGGCUUAUGAGCUUGUUGGGGUAGUAGUGGCUUACAAAGGCUUUGACGGAUAGGCGGCCUGGGAGGGUGACCGGCGACAAUGCGACUAAGAUAGGGAGCAGACGCCUACGGGAGGCAGUAGUGGGGAACAUUGCACAACGGGCGGAAGCGAGAGACAGAAACGCCGCGUGCGUGAUGACGGCCUUCGGGGGGUAAACCGCUGUCUCCUGUGCCGAAGCGUUAGUGACGGUAAUGGGUAAAGAAGCACCGGCUAACUACGUG